This 250-nucleotide ribosomal RNA is filed under the name uncultured bacterium. RNAcentral's name for it is "partial 16S ribosomal RNA". It matches the Rfam family "Bacterial small subunit ribosomal RNA", at positions 524 to 773 of the family's 1533-position model. The record is from RNAcentral.
UACGUAGGUGGCAAGCGUUGUCCGGAAUUACUGGGCGUAAAGAGCGCGUAGGCGGGGAUUUAAGUCAGGAGUGAAAACUAGCGGCUCAACCGGUAGCCUGCUCUUGAAACUGAAUUUCUUGAGGGUAUGAGAGGAAAGCGGAAUUCCCAGUGUAGCGGUGAAAUGCGUAGAUAUUGGGAGGAACACCAGUGGCGAAGGCGGCUUUCUGGCAUACAACUGACGCUGAGGCGCGAAAGCGUGGGUAGCAAAC